GAGAGAGAGAGAGAGAGAAAAGAUCUAGCGAGAGGGUUAGAAGAAUAUGGCUACGCUUCAGACAUGGAGGAAAGCCUAUGGCGCUCUCAAGGAUUCUACCAAAGUCGGCCUUGCCCAUGUCAACAGCGAUUACGCGGAUUUGGAUGUCGCAAUAGUCAAAGCUACUAACCACGUCGAGUGCCCGCCCAAGGAGAGACACCUCAGGAGUGAGUGAUUGCUGUUUGCCAGAUCCAUU
Molecule: unclassified non-coding RNA, 235 nt
Filed under: Hevea brasiliensis (rubber tree)
Lineage: Eukaryota; Viridiplantae; Streptophyta; Magnoliopsida; Malpighiales; Euphorbiaceae
Source: RNAcentral